AGAGGUUCUUGGGUGACACACCCUGGAAUUGGGCUCCCUCCUCUCUGGUUCUGGGUGUGUCACCCGAGAACCACA
This is a non-coding RNA of Myotis brandtii (Brandt's bat), 75 nucleotides long. Lineage: Eukaryota; Metazoa; Chordata; Mammalia; Chiroptera; Vespertilionidae. The record is from Rfam.